GUGGGGAAUAUUGGACAAUGGGCGCAAGCCUGAUCCAGCAAUGCCGCGUGUGUGAAGAAGGUCUUCGGAUCGUAAAGCACUUUCGACGGGGACGAUGAUGACGGUACCCGUAGAAGAAGCCCCGGCUAACUUCGUGCCAGCAGCCGCGGUAAUACGAAGGGGGCUAGCGUUGCUCGGAAUUACUGGGCGUAAAGGGCGCGUAGGCGGCUCUGUGAGUCAGGCGUGAAAUUCCUGGGCUUAACCUGGGGACUGCGCUUGAUACUGCAGGGCUUGAGGCCGAGAGAGGGUGGUGGAAUUCCCAGUGUAGAGGUGAAAUUCGUAGAUAUUGGGAAGAACACCGGUGGCGAAGGCGACCACCUGGCUCGGUACUGACGCUGAGGCGCGACAGCGUGGGGAGCAAACAGGAUUAGAUACCCUGGUAGUCC
Molecule: ribosomal RNA, 425 nt
Filed under: uncultured bacterium
Lineage: Bacteria
Description: partial 16S ribosomal RNA
Rfam family: Bacterial small subunit ribosomal RNA
Source: RNAcentral